UACGUAGGGUGCGAGCGUUGUUCGGAAUCAUUGGGCGUAAAGCGCGUGUAGGCGGCUAACUAAGUCUGGUGUGGAAUCCCGGGGCUUAACCCCGGAAGUGCAUUGGAUACUGGUUGGCUAGAGGGCGAGAGAGGGUGGUGGAAUUCCUGGUGUAGGGGUGAAAUCCGUAGAUAUCAGGAGGAACACCGGUAGCGAAGGCGGCCACCUGGCUCGUUUCUGACGCUCAGACGCGAAAGCGUGGGGAGCAAACAGG
Molecule: ribosomal RNA, 253 nt
Filed under: uncultured bacterium
Lineage: Bacteria
Description: partial 16S ribosomal RNA
Rfam family: Bacterial small subunit ribosomal RNA
Source: RNAcentral